Molecule: ribosomal RNA, 845 nt
Filed under: uncultured archaeon
Lineage: Archaea
Description: SSU rRNA
Rfam family: Archaeal small subunit ribosomal RNA
Source: RNAcentral
UACUCGCGGUCCAAGUCACAGCCAUUUUUAUUGGGUCUAAAACAUCCGUAGCUUGCUUGGUAAGUUUCCUGUGAAAUCCGGCUUCUUAAGAGUCGGGCGGGCAGGAAGUACUGCUAAGCUAGAGACUGGAAGACGUAAGAAGUACGAUUAAAGUAGCGGUAAAAUGUUUUGAUCUUAAUCGGACUCACAAUAGCGAAGGCAUCUUACGAGGACAGUUCUGACAGUAAGGGAUGAAGGCUAGGGGCGCAAAACGGAUUAGAUACCCGUGUAGUCCUAGCAGUAAACACUGCACACUAAACAUUAGUACCUCUUCGAGAGGUAUUAGUGCUGAAGGGAAGCCGAAGAGUGUGCUACCUGGGAAGUAUAGUCGCAAGGCCGAAACUUAAAGGAAUUGGCGGGGAGACACUACAACGGGUGACGCGUGCGGUUCAAUCAGAUUCCACACCGUGAACCUCACCAGGACCGACAGCAGGAUGAAGGUCAGUCUAAAGGGCUUACCUGACACGCUGAGAGGAGUUGCAUGGCCGACGUCAGCCUGUGCUGUGAAGUGACCAGUUAAAUCUGGUAACAGGCAAGACCCACAUGCAUAUUUACCAAGUGUACUAUAUGCAGAUUGCCAUGGUAACAUGGAUGAAAGUGUGGGCUACGUUAGGUGAGUACAGCCCGACAGCCCUGGGCAACACGCGCGCGUCAAUGGUGAAUACAACGGGAUGCAACUCUGAAAGGAGAAGCUAACCCCUUAAAGUUCAUCUCAGUCCAGAUCGAGGUUUGUAACUCAGCCUCGUGACGCUGGAAUCCGUAGUAAUCGUUUGUUAUCAGCGAACGGUGAAUAUGUCACUGUCUCU